Molecule: ribosomal RNA, 429 nt
Filed under: Acidobacteriota bacterium
Lineage: Bacteria; Pseudomonadati; Acidobacteriota
Description: Acidobacteria bacterium partial 16S ribosomal RNA
Rfam family: Bacterial small subunit ribosomal RNA
Source: RNAcentral
UGGGGAAUUUUGGACAAUGGGGGAAACCCUGAUCCAGCCAUCCCGCGUGUGCGAUGAAGGCCUUCGGGUUGUAAAGCACUUUUGGCAGGAAAGAAACGUCAUGGGUUAAUACCCCGUGUAACUGACGGUACCUGCAGAAUAAGCACCGGCUAACUACGUGCCAGCAGCCGCGGUAAUACGUAGGGUGCAAGCGUUAAUCGGAAUUACUGGGCGUAAAGCGUGCGCAGGCGGUUCGGAAAGAAAGAUGUGAAAUCCCAGAGCUCAACUUUGGAACUGCAUUUUUAACUACCGGGCUAGGGUGUGUCAGAGGGAGGUGGAAUUCCGCGUGUAGCAGUGAAAUGCGUAGAUAUGCGGAGGAACACCGAUGGCGAAGGCAGCCUCCUGGGAUAACACUGACGCUCAUGCACGAAAGCGUGGGGAGCAAACAGG